CAUCUGACCAACAUAUUGCUUCUUAUACACUUUACAUGUCAAAAGAUAGACCACGCACUUUGAAGCACAGUUUAAAUGAUGGUUCAUCAUUUAAACUGUGACCAUCAUUUAAACUGUGACUCAAAGUGCGUGGUCGAUCUUUUGACAUGUAAAGUAUGUGAAAAGCAAUAUGUUGGUCAGACG
Molecule: non-coding RNA, 183 nt
Organism: Paramuricea clavata
Lineage: Eukaryota; Metazoa; Cnidaria; Anthozoa; Malacalcyonacea; Plexauridae
Source: the annotation of a GenBank genome assembly